Molecule: ribosomal RNA, 253 nt
Filed under: uncultured bacterium
Lineage: Bacteria
Description: partial 16S ribosomal RNA
Rfam family: Bacterial small subunit ribosomal RNA
Source: RNAcentral
UACGUAGGGUGCGAGCGUUGUUCGGAAUUACUGGGCGUAAAGGGCUCGUAGGUGGCCAACUAAGUCAUACGUGAAAUCCCUCGGCUUAACCGGGGAACUGCGUCUGAUACUGGAUGGCUUGAGGUUGGGAGAGGGAUGCGGAAUUCCAGGUGUAGCGGUGAAAUGCGUAGAUAUCUGGAGGAACACCGGUGGCGAAGGCGGCAUCCUGGACCAAUUCUGACACUGAGGAGCGAAAGCCAGGGGAGCAAACGGG